GAGGGUAUAGCUCAGUGGUAGCGCACAUGCUUAGCAUGCAUGAGGUCCUGGGUUCAAUCCCCAGCACCUCCA
Transfer RNA from Camelus ferus (Wild Bactrian camel), 72 nucleotides. It matches the Rfam family "tRNA". Rfam says of the family: Transfer RNA (tRNA) molecules are approximately 80 nucleotides in length. The record is from Rfam. Lineage: Eukaryota; Metazoa; Chordata; Mammalia; Artiodactyla; Camelidae.